This 95-nucleotide transfer RNA is filed under the name Pleomorphomonas sp. SM30. RNAcentral describes it as "tRNA-Ala". The record is from RNAcentral. Lineage: Bacteria; Pseudomonadati; Pseudomonadota; Alphaproteobacteria; Hyphomicrobiales; Pleomorphomonadaceae. RNAcentral also lists the same sequence under 1 other name.
CGAGGCGCUGGCCGAGGUCGCCGCGACGGCGCUCGCCGCGGCGACGCCGGGCGCCCCGGUGGCGCUCGCCGGCUCGCUGCCGGCGGGCCUCGCCC